This is a non-coding RNA of Pantherophis guttatus, 1721 nucleotides long. The record is from RefSeq and is a predicted model, not a curated record. Lineage: Eukaryota; Metazoa; Chordata; Lepidosauria; Squamata; Colubridae.
GCCUGCUGGUUAUUGGGGAACUACACUUCCCACAAUCCCUGACAUUUAAAACAUCACUUCUCGUCACGUGAUGAUUGUGGCGCGUCUAGUUUUCCCGUCUGGCUGUGGUGCGUUAUUGUGGGACCAGCGUGAGAAAUAACGAUGAAUCCUACAAUAAGCCCAGGAUCACCAUCAGCUGUUUCUUCUGGGCAUUUUUUGCACUGCUCUGUGUUGUCAAGGAAUAUGGGCUGUAGCCACAACAUCAUCCCAAGCUGGGAACGCGAUGUGCCAUGCACAAUUCCACGGAUGAAACCCAGACACAGAUUGGUGAAUUUCAGGAGUGUAAAAAGGUGCCAGUCAGUAUCCCUUGCUUUCAAGCGACACCUGGAAAGCAAAGAUCAGGAACCCAGCUCUAAACAUUUUCUGUCAGAGGAGAAGAUGGCUGCCCGUUUUAACUCCCUUAGCCUGGACAACGACCACAUCUACAGUUCUAACGGUUUCCCUGUUCACAGUGAAAACCCCAGAUGGCAGCAGGCAUACACACAGUUGAAAGAGUUACAACGGAGGCUAUCUCAAGAUGGGGCAAGUGAAGAAACCAACUCUACAGAAGAAGAGCUGACCACAGUCAUUGUAGACGGUGAAUUCAUGAUGGGAGACUGCCCUAUGCUGGUGCCAUCUUCCUUCUCGUUAGGACUCGAAGGAAGCAGCAUUGCCCCUGAAGAAAUGUUUCUUUCUCUGAAUCCUUGUACCGAAGUUGUCCUGUGGAGCCCACACAGUAAGUCCCUCUUGCACACUAUCAGGACACUGAUAGCUCCCUCAUCGGUCCAGCCCCAUCUAGAAGCAGUGGCAAACCAAGAGGAAAUGGAAAUAUGAAUCAACAACCCCAAUUUUACUUCCCUUUGAAAUCAAAUUCACUUCUCUGUCUGGCUGUGUCUUUCAACAAAAAGCACCUUUAUCCAGUCAGUAUAAAUAUUUCACAAAAAUAUUUUAUUCCACCAUGGUGGCAUUCGUCAUUUUCAGCCAGCUGCAAUAAUCUGAUCCUUUCUCUUCCAUCCACAUAAUGUACAGUAUAUCUGCAACUAAGUCAUACACACACAUACACACACCUCACUAUAUUUUCUCUUUCAAUAAGCAAUCAGCAAAUAGUUCCCAGGACAUUGUAAUAUACUUUUAAAUGUUAAAUGAGCAUUCUAACCACUUCUUUUAUACUUUAUUAGCACUGAAGUCAGAUUUUUAAUGUCCAUCAAAGUUGGAAGAAUUUUUCUGGAGGUAAACCGGAAUGACAGAAUGGUACCCCAAUUAUAGCUGCAAAGGUUAUGAAGUCCUUUUUCAAACUCAAGACGUGGACAGUUGGCUAUUUUCUCCCAACAUCUGGAUUGAAGGACAGGGCUAAUGAAGAGAUAGAAAACUCUCCAAAUUCUAAGAAAAGAGCAAUGCAGCUUGGUCCUAAACCAUUCCUACCUAGGGUAAUCAGAGCAAGCCUAAAGAGAGAUGAGAAGGAAAACUCCCAAUACUAUCGGCUGGGAAAUUCUGACACAUUUACUUGUGUUUCUUCCAUUUCCUUCUAUUAUUAUUUAAACUGAGGCACAGCUCCAGAGCAUGAAAGAGCUUGCUCCAAAAUAAUCUAAUGCCCACCUUCUCCCUCAUCCUGCAGCCUUCUUACUGUGACUUAAAUUUGAACACUGGUUGUAUUCUAGCUAUCAGACCACAAGUGAAGAAAUAAAAUACAAUGAGUAAGCAAA